AUUGAACGCUGGCGGCAUGCCUUACACAUGCAAGUCGAACGGCAGCGGACCUUCGGGUGCCGGCGAGUGGCGAACGGGUGAGUAAAGUAUCGGAACGUACCUUUCAGUGGGGGAUAACUGUCCGAAAGGACAGCUAAUACCGCAUAUUCUGUGAGCAGGAAAGCAGGGGAUCGCAAGACCUUGCGCUGAUUGAGCGGCCGAUAUCAGAUUAGCUAGUUGGUGAGGUAAAGGCUCACCAAGGCGACGAUCUGUAGCGGGUCUGAGAGGAUGAUCCGCCACACUGGAACUGAGACACGGUCCAGACUCCUACGGGAGGCAGCAGUGGGGAAUUUUGGACAAUGGGGGCAACCCUGAUCCAGCCAUUCCGCGUGAGUGAAGAAGGCCUC
Molecule: ribosomal RNA, 386 nt
Filed under: uncultured bacterium
Lineage: Bacteria
Description: bacterial SSU rRNA
Rfam family: Bacterial small subunit ribosomal RNA
Source: RNAcentral